GGGUCAGUAGGUUGGUCGUGCCACCGGUACGUACUGGUCUCACCGAUACCUCCUUCCUGAAGAACCGUAAUGCCAUUAAUUUGGUGUUGCGGGGAAACAGGACUGUUACUUUGAAAAAAUUAGAGUGUUUAAAGCAAGCUAACGCUUGAAUACAUUAGCAUGGAAUAAUGAAAUAGGACGAUCGAUCCUAUUUUGUUGGUUUCUAGGAUUGACGUA
RNAcentral lists this ribosomal RNA (216 nucleotides) under Glomeromycotina sp. RNAcentral's name for it is "partial small subunit ribosomal RNA". The stretch from base 54 to 216 matches the Rfam family "Eukaryotic small subunit ribosomal RNA", at positions 700 to 864 of the family's 1831-position model. Lineage: Eukaryota; Fungi; Glomeromycota. The record is from RNAcentral.